GUGGGGAAUCUUCCGCAAUGGGCGAAAGCCUGACGGAGCAACGCCGCGUGAGUGACGAAGGCCUUCGGGUUGUAAAACUCUGUCUUCAGGGAAGAAACAAAUGACGGUACCUGAGGAGGAAGCCACGGCUAACUACGUGCCAGCAGCCGCGGUAAUACGUAGGUGGCAAGCGUUGUCCGGAAUUACUGGGCGUAAAGAGCGCGUAGGCGGGAAUUUAAGUCAGGAGUGAAAACUGCCGGCUCAACCGGCAGCCUGCAUCUGAAACUGAAUUUCUUGAGGGUAUGAGAGGAAAGCGGAAUUCCCAGUGUAGCGGUGAAAUGCGUAGAUAUUGUGGAGGAACACCAGUGGCGAAGGCGGACUUUCAUG
RNAcentral lists this ribosomal RNA (366 nucleotides) under uncultured Thermincola sp. RNAcentral describes it as "bacterial SSU rRNA". It matches the Rfam family "Bacterial small subunit ribosomal RNA", at positions 354 to 733 of the family's 1533-position model. The record is from RNAcentral. Lineage: Bacteria; Bacillati; Bacillota; Clostridia; Eubacteriales; Thermincolaceae.